AUCCAGCUGACGAGUCCCGAAUAGGACGAAACGCGCGUCCAGGAU
Schistosoma mansoni is the source of this 45-nucleotide non-coding RNA. Lineage: Eukaryota; Metazoa; Platyhelminthes; Trematoda; Strigeidida; Schistosomatidae. The record is from Rfam.